CCUACGGGAGGCAGCAGUGGGGAAUAUUGCACAAUGGGGGAAACCCUGAUGCAGCGACGCCGCGUGAGUGAAGAAGUAAUUCGGUAUGUAAAGCUCUAUCAGCAGGGAAGAAAAUGACGGUACCUGAGUAAGAAGCACCGGCUAACUACGUGACAGCAGCCGCGGUAAUACGGAGGGGGCCAGCGUUAUCCGGAUUUACUGGGUGUAAAGGGAGCGUAGACGGCAGUGCAAGUCUGGAGUGAAAGGCGGGGGCUCAACCCCCGGACUGCUCUGGAAACUGUACGGCUGGAGUGCAGGAGAGGUAAGUGGAAUGCCUAGUGUAGCGGUGAAAUGCGUAGAUAUUAGGAGGAACACCAGUGGCGAAGGCGGCUUACUGGACUGUAACUGACGUUGAGGCUCGAAAGCGUGGGGAGCAAACAGGAUUAGAUACCCCAGUAGUC
RNAcentral lists this ribosomal RNA (440 nucleotides) under uncultured bacterium. Its description in RNAcentral is "partial 16S ribosomal RNA". It matches the Rfam family "Bacterial small subunit ribosomal RNA", at positions 338 to 795 of the family's 1533-position model. The record is from RNAcentral.